GACGAACGCUGGCGGCGUGCUUAACACAUGCAAGUCGAACGGAAAGGCCCUGCUUUUGUGGGGUGCUCGAGUGGCGAGCGGGUGAGUAGCACGUGAGUAACCUGCCCUUGACUUUGGGAUAACUUCAGGAAACUGGGGCUGAUACCGGAUAGGAGCUCCUGCUGCAUGGUGGGGGUUGGAAAGUUUCGGCGGUUGGGGAUGGACUCGCGGCUUAUCAGCUUGUUGGUGGGGUAGUGGCUUACCAAGGCUUUGACGGGUAGCCGGCCUGAGAGGGUGACCGGCCACAUUGGGACUGAGAUACGGCCCAGACUCCUACGGGAGGCAGCAGUGGGGAAUAUUGCACAAUGGGCGGAAGCCUGAUGCAGCAACGCCGCGUGCGGGAUGACGGCCUUCGGGUUGUAAACCGCUUUCGCCUGUGACGAAGCGUGAGUGACGGUAAUGGGUAAAGAAGCACCGGCUAACUACGUG
This 468-nucleotide ribosomal RNA is filed under the name uncultured bacterium. RNAcentral describes it as "partial 16S ribosomal RNA". It matches the Rfam family "Bacterial small subunit ribosomal RNA", at positions 28 to 507 of the family's 1533-position model. The record is from RNAcentral.